Molecule: ribosomal RNA, 2112 nt
Filed under: Escherichia coli
Lineage: Bacteria; Pseudomonadati; Pseudomonadota; Gammaproteobacteria; Enterobacterales; Enterobacteriaceae
Description: bacterial LSU rRNA
Rfam family: Bacterial large subunit ribosomal RNA
Source: RNAcentral
UUAAGCGACUAAGCGUACACGGUGGAUGCCCUGGCAGUCAGAGGCGAUGAAGGACGUGCUAAUCUGCGAUAAGCGUCGGUAAGGUGAUAUGAACCGUUAUAACCGGCGAUUUCCGAAUGGGGAAACCCAGUGUGAUUCGUCACACUAUCAUUAACUGAAUCCAUAGGUUAAUGAGGCGAACCGGGGGAACUGAAACAUCUAAGUACCCCGAGGAAAAGAAAUCAACCGAGAUUCCCCCAGUAGCGGCGAGCGAACGGGGAGCAGCCCAGAGCCUGAAUCAGUGUGUGUGUUAGUGGAAGCGUCUGGAAAGGCGCGCGAUACAGGGUGACAGCCCCGUACACAAAAAUGCACAUGCUGUGAGCUCGAUGAGUAGGGCGGGACACGUGGUAUCCUGUCUGAAUAUGGGGGGACCAUCCUCCAAGGCUAAAUACUCCUGACUGACCGAUAGUGAACCAGUACCGUGAGGGAAAGGCGAAAAGAACCCCGGCGAGGGGAGUGAAAAAGAACCUGAAACCGUGUACGUACAAGCAGUGGGAGCACGCUUAGGCGUGUGACUGCGUACCUUUUGUAUAAUGGGUCAGCGACUUAUAUUCUGUAGCAAGGUUAACCGAAUAGGGGAGCCGAAGGGAAACCGAGUCUUAACUGGGCGUUAAGUUGCAGGGUAUAGACCCGAAACCCGGUGAUCUAGCCAUGGGCAGGUUGAAGGUUGGGUAACACUAACUGGAGGACCGAACCGACUAAUGUUGAAAAAUUAGCGGAUGACUUGUGGCUGGGGGUGAAAGGCCAAUCAAACCGGGAGAUAGCUGGUUCUCCCCGAAAGCUAUUUAGGUAGCGCCUCGUGAAUUCAUCUCCGGGGGUAGAGCACUGUUUCGGCAAGGGGGUCAUCCCGACUUACCAACCCGAUGCAAACUGCGAAUACCGGAGAAUGUUAUCACGGGAGACACACGGCGGGUGCUAACGUCCGUCGUGAAGAGGGAAACAACCCAGACCGCCAGCUAAGGUCCCAAAGUCAUGGUUAAGUGGGAAACGAUGUGGGAAGGCCCAGACAGCCAGGAUGUUGGCUUAGAAGCAGCCAUCAUUUAAAGAAAGCGUAAUAGCUCACUGGUCGAGUCGGCCUGCGCGGAAGAUGUAACGGGGCUAAACCAUGCACCGAAGCUGCGGCAGCGACACUAUGUGUUGUUGGGUAGGGGAGCGUUCUGUAAGCCUGUGAAGGUGUACUGUGAGGUAUGCUGGAGGUAUCAGAAGUGCGAAUGCUGACAUAAGUAACGAUAAAGCGGGUGAAAAGCCCGCUCGCCGGAAGACCAAGGGUUCCUGUCCAACGUUAAUCGGGGCAGGGUGAGUCGACCCCUAAGGCGAGGCCGAAAGGCGUAGUCGAUGGGAAACAGGUUAAUAUUCCUGUACUUGGUGUUACUGCGAAGGGGGGACGGAGAAGGCUAUGUUGGCCGGGCGACGGUUGUCCCGGUUUAAGCGUGUAGGCUGGUUUUCCAGGCAAAUCCGGAAAAUCAAGGCUGAGGCGUGAUGACGAGGCACUACGGUGCUGAAGCAACAAAUGCCCUGCUUCCAGGAAAAGCCUCUAAGCAUCAGGUAACAUCAAAUCGUACCCCAAACCGACACAGGUGGUCAGGUAGAGAAUACCAAGGCGCUUGAGAGAACUCGGGUGAAGGAACUAGGCAAAAUGGUGCCGUAACUUCGGGAGAAGGCACGCUGAUAUGUAGGUGAAGUCCCUCGCGGAUGGAGCUGAAAUCAGUCGAAGAUACCAGCUGGCUGCAACUGUUUAUUAAAAACACAGCACUGUGCAAACACGAAAGUGGACGUAUACGGUGUGACGCCUGCCCGGUGCCGGAAGGUUAAUUGAUGGGGUUAGCGCAAGCGAAGCUCUUGAUCGAAGCCCCGGUAAACGGCGGCCGUAACUAUAACGGUCCUAAGGUAGCGAAAUUCCUUGUCGGGUAAGUUCCGACCUGCACGAAUGGCGUAAUGAUGGCCAGGCUGUCUCCACCCGAGACUCAGUGAAAUUGAACUCGCUGUGAAGAUGCAGUGUACCCGCGGCAAGACGGAAAGACCCCGUGAACCUUUACUAUAGCUUGACACUGAACAUUGAGCCUUGAUGUGUAG